This 18161-nucleotide long non-coding RNA is filed under the name Olea europaea (common olive). Its description in RNAcentral is "long non-coding RNA (OEUR_LNC004259)". Lineage: Eukaryota; Viridiplantae; Streptophyta; Magnoliopsida; Lamiales; Oleaceae. The record is from RNAcentral.
AACCCCUUGAGGCUUGCCAAAAGCACCCCUCAUACCAGUUUGGAGCCUAUCAGCUCCAGCACAUGACAACAUCUUGUUAAUUCGCAACACAUGAAAAGGGUGCACACGGACCCUCAGGUGGAAAGCAUCCUUUCCUGCAAACUUAGUCAUGUACUUAUUGCAGGCAAUACGAGCAGCUUCAAGUGCUUCACUAGACACAUUUUCCUUUUCCCAACUGACCAAGUGCACGCAGAAAGGGAACUCAUCAACUCCCUUCUUCUUCAUCCCUACAUCGUAAAUCCUGAUCUUGGGAUCUGGCACACCACGGCAGAACCGUGAUUUUGGGUAUGGCUUAUUCUUUAUUUGACGAUAGCACCUAGCAGGUCCUGCGUACAAGUAGUCAACCCAUCAAAACAAUGUACUGCAUUUUCUAUUUCCUAAGAUAAUAAAAAGACAAUUUUCAUUUCCAGAAGUAUUUGAUACUCAAUCCACCUUAGGAAUGCUACACACUUGGAAACUCAGAAUAGUCUCAUAAAUCCAAAAUAUGAUUAAAUGAAAAUAACAUCAAGCAGCCUAUCUAAGAUUAAUACAUUACUUUCCAGAUACAUUGCAUUAACAUAGUUAGCAAUUCAAUAUAGAAAAACAGAUAACAAUUUACUGAAUGAUGACAAGAAACAAAAAAUAAUUAGCAAUAGAUAUUCAAGUAUAACAAGAUUGACAUGAUUUACAAAAUCAACGGUUACCAGCCUCAUAAAUAAAGUUAUCCUCUCGUCAUAAACAGAACCUCAUGAACGUAAAAACCCACACAAGCCAAAGUUAUACACACAUCUCACUUAAAAUUAGAGGUUUUAUACUUUCCAGUGAACCAGAACAUAACCUACUUAGCACCUAAUAUUUACAUUUCUAAAUAAAACAAUCCUAUGAUCAUAAUUGAUGAAACUAUCUCAUUCACCAAAUAAAAAUUCAGUAGCACAAUACAAAUUAAAAUUGUAUACCCUAACAACGUCACAUGCAUCACCAAAGCCUAAUAUCCCUACAAAUAAACCUAAAAAAGGCUUUCAAAUAUCAAUAAAACCAUGGAUCCAUCAUAACAACCUUAAUAAAAAGGUCAGCAACACUAAAAAAUUUUCCAAAAUCAAUUUAAUUCAUACCAUCAAACAAAUAAUGCAAAAAAUAAUUCCUACAGCAUCAUUUUAUCACAAGUCAAAAUAUAAAUACCACAAAAGCAUGAAUAUAUCUAUCUAUACAUUUACAUAUUCAUACCAUCUAACAAAUAACAUAGAAAAUAAUUCCUCCAGAAUCAUUUCAUCACAAGUCAAAAUAGAUAUACAACAAUAUGUAUCUCUGUAUCUAGCUAUACAUAUACAUCACAUAUAUGCGUGUACGAAUCCAUAUUGCCUUACUUCUCCCCAUGGCGAAUUUUCCGCUUUGUUGGUCUGCGGCCUAAAAUUGAGAAAUGACGUACAAACUCGUGGAUUUGGGAGAAGUUCUAUUUAUAUACUUAGGGUUGGGUUGGGGGAAGUCUUUUUUUUGGGGUGGGGAGAAAGAGAGACUUUUAAAAAUGGUGUUGCCAAAUAAAGGAAAUUUCAUUUUCACUUGUUGAAUUCUUAAAAUUAUGACAAUGACUUAUUGAGUGUUAAAAGACAAAAAUGUCCUUCAGUGUAUUAUGUAAUUAAAAAAAAAUUGUUUAAAAAGACAUUAUUAUCCUUUUGUUAACAAAUAAAAAUCAAACGUUUUCCACUUAAAAUAUCAAAAUCAGCAAACUUCUCAUAUUCAUUUACUCUAACACAGAUAAAAACGAUUUCAUCUUUCAUCUGCUCGAGAUCAAGAUUUGAAAAAUUCAUCGAACGCGGUAGCUGAAAUUUUUUUAUAUCAAUCUCAUCAGAUCAAUAAUAAUUAGCACAAAAUCUUCCUCACUUUCGUUGUUUUUUUUUGGGGAAAACAUCUUUUCGUUUUUUGAAAGAUUACACCCUCACCUUUACCAUUUUUUUGCGCAAAAUAUCAUUCUGUUAACUUUUCGUUAAAAUGCUCCGUUAAAUCAAAAGGUAAUUAGUACAAAAUGUUCCUAUCUUUCAAUGUUAUAGUGCAAAACGUUCCUACCUUACAUUUUUUUAGCAUAAUUAGCACAAAAUGUUACCUUUCAAUGUUAUUGUGCAAAACGUCCAUACCUUUCAUUUUUAGUAUUUUCACCCCUACCUUUCACCUUUUAUUGUGCAAUACGUCAUUUUCAUUCAUUUUUCAAAAAAAUGGAGAUUUUACCCUCCUAUUUAAAUAAAAUAAAAAGAAAAAAAAAGAAAGAUAAAUAAUUAAUAGCAAUCAUAGUCCUAAAUCUUUCAAAAUAUUACAGAUAAAUCCUAAAUUCUCCACUACCGCCACUUUUACAACUCCACCAAGCUACCACCUAUAGAUUCAUAUACCACCAUCUUUUGGCCACAACACUUAUCGGACUCCACCACCACCAGCCUCGCCUCAUUCUCCCCAAUAUCCUCCUCCAUAGUAUUGAUCAUUAAUAUGUCUGAAACAACCACAUUUAAAGGUGGUGUUAUGUUGAUUUAUAGUUGGCAGCUUGAUAGGUUGUGAAAGUGGUAGUGGUUGAUAAUUUAUGAUUUCUUUGUAAUUUUUUAAAAAUUUAAGGACUAUGGUUGCAGUUAGUAAUUAUUUUUUUCUUUUAUUUUAUUUGAAUAGGAGGGUAAAAUUGUCAUUUUAUUGAAAAAUGUAUGAGAAUGACCUUUUUCGCAAUGAAAGGUGAAAGGUAGGGGUGAAAAUGCUAAAAAAUGAAAGGGAGAGACUUUUGCACAAUAACAUUGAAAGGUAGGGACCUUUUGUGCUAAUUAUGCCAAAAAAUGAAAUAUAGAGACGUUUUGCACAAUAAUAUUGAAAGGUAGGGACCUUUUGUGCUAAUUACCGUUUGAUUUAACAGAGUAUUUUAAUAGGGAGUUGACAGAAUGACGUUUUACACAAAAAAAAAGGUAAAGGUGAGGGUGUAAUCCGUCAAAAAAUGAAAGGUAUGGACGUUUUCUACAAAAAUAUCGAAAGGUAGGGACGUUUUGUGCUAAUUACCCUUUUAAAAAUGGUGUUGUCAAAUAACGGAAAUUUCAUUUUAACUUGUUGAAUUCUUAAAAUUAUGACAACGACUAUUGAGUGUUAAAAGAUAAAAAUGCCCUUAAGUACAUUAUGCAAUUAUAAAAGAUUGUUUUGUUUAAAAGACAUUAUUACCCUUUUGUUAACAAAUAAAAAUCAAACACUUUCCACUUAAAAUAUCAAAAUCAGCAAACUUUUCAUAUUUAUUUACUCCAACACAGAUAAAAACGCUUUCAUCUUUCAUCUUUCAUCUGCUAGAAGCUCAAAAUUUGAAAAAUUCAUCGAACGCAGUAGCUGAAAAUUUUUUAUAUCAUCCUCAUCAUAUCAGUAAGUUUAUAAUACGUAUAUUUAAUUUUGUUUUCGUUAAAUUAUUUUACGUUUGCAUAGAUAAAAUUUAUUUCGACAUAUAUGUUAAUGUAGAUAGUUUUAUUACUAGAUCUGUGAAAAAUUUUAAACUUUUGACGAGAAAAAAUUCAUCUGCAUUAAUACUAAAAAAUUAAUCUUCAAAAGUUUGGUGUGUUUAUUUUGCCGAACAGCGAAUUUGAACUGUCAACUGUCCAGUUAACAGAUAAAAAACACGGCUGGACAACCGGACAAUUUAACAAUCGGCUGGAACAACCGAAUCAAAACAAACUGUUUUAAAUUUAUUUUUUUCCCUAUUUCGUUCAAUAUUUUCUUGCAAUUAAAAAUUCUUUUUUAUCACGCAGAUAUGGUUGUAGUCCCAAUUUGUUACAUUGGUGAUUUUGAAUUGGACGAAAGAGAUCGAUAGGUAUGAAAAUGGACGAGCGAUAAAUGUGGUGGUAUCUGAAUUUCCAUAACAGAAACAACAACGUAUGCAGAACUCUAUAAUCUUUUAUAGAACAAGCUAAAUGUUGAUCUGUCUCAGUAUGACAUGGAAUUGAAAUUUAAAUUCAGUGACCAUGAAGUUCUGAGUCCACAUAUGACGAUUUCUUCUGAUACCGAAAUGAAUUAUCUGUUUAAAAUGAACAAUAGACACUCGACUCCGAUUUGCGUGACUUUAGUGAGAAAGGAUGUCGUCGAAGGUGAACAAGUAGACUCAGAUAGAGGGGAUAACAAUGCUAAUGAUUUUUGGAAUAUGGUCCAGAUAGCUCAUGAAGAUGAGGCGGUUAUUCCAAAGAUAGUUAGUCACAGAAUUUCGUCCGUGGUUUACGACAAUGAGUGUAAAAAUGCAAAUACUUUUAUCGACAAGGAUUUGAUCUCUUUAUCCUGACAGAGACAUAAGCGGGGUGGGACCUCAGGGGCUGGAUCGAGUGGACCGUCCUCUGACUCCUCCCAUGUAGUUCCCGAUAGUGAGGAUUUGUAUGUCGAGUGACCAUUUGAAACGAAAAAAAGAUUUGCAGGAAGCUCUGCACCUAAUUGUACUGAAAUACAACUUUGAAUUCAAAGUGAAAAAAUCAAACAAGUCGUUGACAAUUGCUUACGUAGACGACAGUUGCUGUUGGCAUUUGCGAGCGACGAAGAUGAACACGAAUGAGUGCUUUGUAGUUCAUAAGUAUGCACGGGAACAUACUUGUGAAUUGGGAUUACGUCGAAAUGAUCACAAGCAAGCCCUAGCUUAGUUUAUUGGUCGACAGAUAAUGCUCAAGUAUCAGAUCCUCGUACAAUCUACAGACCAUCAAAUAUCAUUAAUGACGUCCGUCGAGAAUAGAGAGUAGUCUUGAGCUACCAGAAGGUCUGGAAGGCCAAUGAAUGUGCUUUUGAGGAUUUAAUGGGCUCUGCAGAGGAAAACUAUGCUAAAUUGGUCAGGUAUUGCCAUAAUAUGGAGAAAACUAAUCCUGGCUCGAAAUUUUUUAUUGAGACGGAGGGUAGGAAUUGCUUCAAAUUCUUCUUCAUGGCUCUUGGACAAUGCAUUCGGGGAUUUAGAAAUGCAAUGCGACCCCUAAUUCUAAUUGAUGGUACAACACUGAAAUCUAAAUAUCAAGGCAAGUUGACUAUUGCUAUAUAUCAAGAUGCCAACAUCCAAAUUUACCUUCUUACAUUCGGCAUAGUCGAUAAUUACUUGUCGAUGCGGUGGUUCUUCACAAAGUUAAGGGAUGUAAUCGGGGAAGUUGAUGACCUUGCAUUUGUAACAUAUCAGGGACAGCCUUUAGUAAAUGGUAUCGCUGAAGUUUUUCCAGAUGCACAUCAUGGGUAUUGCAUGUACCAUAUUCAAGGCAAUCUGAAGACCAGGUAUUGGGGCAAAAGUGUCGUUUCAUUGUUCAAGAGAGCGGCUGAAGCCUACAGUGUUGAAAAGUGUAAUAAGUUCAUGGUUGAAAUAGGAAGUAAAUCAUUCGAUGCAUGGGAUUAUCUAACAAAAAUAGGGAUUGAACAUUGGUCGCGCUUGUUUUUUUCAUCACAUCAAUACAACAUGAUGACGUCAAACAACGUGAAAUCUUUCAAUGCAUUAUUCAAGAAGGAUCGAGAAUUACCCAUUCUUGCGCUGAUUGAGAAAAUCCGUACCAAGCUGUAACAGUGAUUUCCUGAUCGACAUGCAGAAUCACAAAAUUGUACGAAUGUGCUAGCCCCAACGCAAGAGGAAAAACUAUUUAAAGCUGUAGAACUUGCGAGACAGUUGAAUGUCGAACUACUAGAUGAGUUGCCCUUCUCAGUGGAAUGUGCACGUAAUACAGCAUACAUGGUGGACUUGACUGAUAACACAUGCAGCUAUAAAAAAUUUCAGUUGGAGACUUUUUUGUGUGAGCAUGUAGUCGCGGUUGCUAUAUAUCGAGGAUUUGCAGUUAGAACUUUGUGCUCUCAUUACUAUAUGACUAAUUAUUGGAGAGCUGUGUACGCUGAGACAAUUUUUCCUCUACUGAACGAACCUAAGUGAGAAGUCCUUGACCAUAUUUGCCCACUUAAUACAUUGUUGCCACCUCUCAUUAAACUGCAUGGUCCUGAACGUCCAAGUACGUCUAGAAUAUCAUCUACUGGAGAAUUUUCUCGACCGCGUAGGUGCAGCAGGUGCAAAUCAGUAGGGCAUAUUCGCCAAUAUUGUACAAGUCGUGUUCCUCUAAAUGAUAGUUAGAUCAUUUGGUAAUGUUGUCCAUCUGAAUUAAACAGUAUUUGCAUUUAUUAUACAUUUACAAAUUAAUUGUCGUCGUAAUUAAUAAUCAUUUCAUAAUCCAUCACAGUGUUUUACAAAACAUUUCGUAAGUACAACAAAUCAAUAUUUACAGUAUUCACAAUUAUUUCAUAAUUAUGAAAAAAUUACAACUAAUAAUUACAAUAAAUCUAUGGAUCACCAUUAAACUAGAAUAAGUCGCACGCCAACUUAUCGUGCCAACUCUAUAUUCAGGAUUGGUUGAUUCCAUCAAUCUUAUAUGCUAUACUCAGAAAUUCGAUGUACUUUAUUGCAAAAAUGCCCCAAUCGUCCAUUCAAAUGAAAAAAAAUGAGUUCGAUCAGUACCGUGAAGCCAAAAAAAUUAAGUAUUAAAUUUAAAAAAAUUUAGAACCACUUACGAUAUUGUCUGCCUCGCUGUGGUCGUGUCCCGCACGAUGGCUAAUCUGUCCUUCACAGUCAAUCCCGUCUAUCUAGCUAUCAUUGGGACAAACACAGCAAUGAGCUCCAAAUUUUGCUUGAGCUGACCAUGUGUCAGACAUGAAUGAUCGGGGUCGUACAAGUAUAUAGUAGACUCAGCGAACACAAUCUCCAAGGUCAUGCAGUGAUGAUUCACAAUCACUGGUGUGUACAUAUGUGUACAACCCUCCCAUGACUUCCUCCCGACACAUGGCCACAUCCUUAUGGUCCACUCGAGCAUGUAGUCGAGCACCGCGUACUUCUUGUCGGUAGGUUGGAGCUACCCUCAAUGUCAACACUUUGUCCGAACUCGAAAUUGAGUAUGACUCGGCCAGGACUGUCAAAUGAGCUCGGAUAUCUUUGAACUUGAUCAUGCAACAAGUCCAUAACCAGGUCGAUGUGUGGCACUAAAAAAUAACAAUACAAAAUAGAGUUAUUUCAUUACAUAAACAAACUAUGAUGUACAAGUCAUAAAAAUUAACAAUAUGACUACUCACUUACAUCGUCGGCAAGCCAGGCUCCUAAAGUGAUGAUGUCAUGAAACCACUUAUAAGAAUUAGAGAUCGUCACAAUACCUAUCAUACGGCUGGUCCUGACAAAAGAAAUAGAGAAAUGUAACGAUCACUGGUAUGUACUAAUAUCACUAAUAUCAUGAAUACUAACUCGAGCAACAUUCUUCUCUGUCUCGAACACUUUCCACUUGGCAUGGUCCAUCUCCCGAAAUAGGUUGGGGAUCGUCCCAUCGACAAACUUCCUCAUUUUCGUGUCAGCCGUGAAGGAAGAGACAAUGUACCGUGACGACACUCUCGGCCUCUUGCUUAACACCAUCUCCGGCAAGUUAACAGCACGCUUUUUUGACCCAGUCACGGUCUUCGUCCUCCCCUCAUCCACCUCGGGCAUCAUUCCCUCCUCUGUCCUAGUCGUCACCACCUCCUCGACCGUCACUCCCGUCCUCGAGGGGCCCACCACCUCAUCUACCAGUGUCAACACCACCUUCUCGACCCCCUCAUCCGCUAUCAUCAGCACCACCUCCUCAAUCGUCGCUCCCGUCCCCAACGGGGUCACCUCCUCCUCUGACCUUGAGGCCAUCCCCUCCUCCGCCCUCGGGUCCACCCUAUCCUCUAUGGACCGAAAAAAGGAGUCUCAUGCAUCCUCCGACCACGACCGUGGAUGACCCCCAUCUCUAUCCUCUCGAUCACCAGAUCGUCACCUCCGUCAACCCAUCGCCUGUCUGCUAUAUCACCUUGAAGUGCUGUCACUUCAUCAUGAAGGUCCCCUAAAUGCCCACGUAGCACUCCAAUAUCAUCAGCUAUAUCCUCGACCCUCCCUACCAACUGACGUCCCAGAUCGUCGACCUACUCCACCAUAUCUCGACGUAGCGUGCCGACCUCCUCUAAAAUAACUCCUAUCAACUGUCGACGCAGUGCGCCGACCUCUCCUGAUAUAACUCCUCUCAGCUCUCAAUGUAGCGAGUCGACCUCCCCUGAUAUAACUCAUGUUAGCUCUUGACGCAGCGCGCCGACCUCUUACACCAUAAAUCCAAUCAGGGGAUGUUACAGAUUAUCAGAAUAAUCACCCUGAAGGGGAGGAAGUAACGUCGGCGGCGGAGGUGAUGCCCUCAAUGGAGAUGAUGCCCUCGGUGGAGGUUAUGCCCGAUCAACUGGCUCGCGAUCCUGCACAAACUUAUAUAUUAUUAACUUAUUCAAUAAUUGUUAUCUCAUACAAAAUAUUAAUCAAUAAUUCACUUACCCAGUCUCGAUCGGGGAUCGAAUCGGAAAUCUGGUCAUCCUGGGCAUGCAGAACCGCUACUUCACGCAUGAGACCCUGUGGCUCUUCCUCCAUCAACGGCGUCAAAUGAGUUAUUACUUCAAGCUAAGAUAUUGACAUUUUAAAAAAAUAAAAUCAUGUAAUGUUACACUUUGUACAAUAUAAAUCACAAAUUUAUAAUACUCACAUGAGGGUCAUUGAGGAGAGCCAAUAAUUGUUUCCCAAUGGGACAUCCCUCCGUUCGAGAUGCUCGCCAAUGGUGCAUCCGAGGGCAGCGUGUCUCAUCUUGCCGUGUAAAGCGGGUACCCAAUAUGGAGAUAGUCUCAUACGCCCAGACCUACAAUACAUAAAUUAGUACAUACAAAUUCAAUAAAAAAAUAUUUUAACAUUGAUCGCAUUAAUCAUUUACUUGCAGCACCAAGGGGAAUCUAUACGUGUCGUACUUACGCAUGGGCCCCUUGGGCUUCGAGUGUGGUAUGGUGAAGAUGUGGACGGUGUUAUCGAAAUAUCGGCUGUCCCACGGACAGCUGUUGAAACGAUUUAUGUCGUUGACGAUCUCGAGGUGGAAGAGGUUGAUUGUAGUCUUCUUGUGGUGACACCGCAUCAUGCUCUCAAUGAUGUAGACCAGACCUAACUUCAGUCUGUCCAACAUCUCGUCACACCUCCUGAUCGCGUCCAUCAACUGAGGCAAAACCACCGCUCCCUAUCCCUGGAAGUAAGUUUUUUGCAGCCUAUUUCUUCUCUAAGCCCGUCGCUAGUUGUCACAUCGCCCGUAAUCUUCAAUCCAGUCAGCAGGGCAAACUCGAACAUGGAAAAGCUAGCGACUUUACCCCCGAAGUCGAAGUGGAGGGUAUCGCUGUCAACUGGACUCAGCAGCCGACAUAAAAGAGCGUCGAUCAUCUGAUCCGAAUACUGCAACUCUCUCAUAGGGUAUAGAAGCCACAGAAAGGACUGACGCAGCAUAUCUGUAUGCUGAUCGUCUAGCAGCUCCAAGACUUGGGUGAAGCUGUCAAAGUUACUGUUCCACGUAACUUUGUUUGGCAUCUGUCUCAACUCUGCAUCCAAAAGAUAAUCCAUCCUAAAAAAAUUGAAACAAAAUAUUAGAACAUUGUAUAUGAAAUAAUGGAAUGAAACAUAAUAACCCAAAAUUAAGAAAUCUGAAUUUUUAAUUGUGUUUUUAAAAUCACAAAUAUCUUUACAUUAAAAUUAUAACUAAAAUAAAAACUUAAAUUUAAAAUAAAAUAAAAUAAAAAAUGAUAAUUAAAUAAAAAUAAAAAUUUAAAGUUAGAAUUAAAAAUUUAUUUGAAAUUAAUUUUAAAAUAACAAAUUUCUUUACAUUAAAAUUAUAUAAAAUGAAAAUUUAAAUUCAAAAUAAAAUUACCAUUACAAUUAAAUUUAAAAUAAAAAGUUGAAAUUAGAAUUAAAAAAGUAAUUUUAAAAUUAAUUUUAAAAUAACAAAUUUCUAAAUUAAAAUUAUAACUAAAAUGAAAAUUUAAAUUUAAAAUAAAAAAAUAGAAAACUAAAAAUAAAUUAAAAAUAAAAAUUAUUUUGAAAUUAAUAUUAAAAUAAAAAAUUUCUUAACAUUAAAAUUAUAAUUAAAAAAUGUAAAUUUAAAAUAAAAUUAAAAUUUAAUUUAAAAUAAAAUUAAAACUACAAUUAUAUUUAAAAUAAAAUUUUGAAAUUAGAAUUAAAAAAAGUAAUUUGAAAAAUAAUUUUAAAAUAACAAAUUUCUUUAAAUUAAAAUUAUAACUAAAAUGAAAUUUAAAAUUUAAAAUAAAAUUAAAUAUAAAACUAAAAUUAAAUAAAAAUUAAAAAUUAAAAAUUAGAAUUAAAAAUUUAUUUUGAAAUUAAUUUUAAAAUAAAAAAACUUCUUUACAUUAAAAUUAUAAUUAAAAAUGGAAAUUUAAAAUAAAAUUACAAUUACAAUUAAAUUUAAUAUAAAAAGUUGAAAUUAGAAUUACAAAAGUAAUUUGAAAUUUAAUUUUAAAAUAACAAAUUUCUUUAAAGUAAAAUUAAAAUUAAAAUUAAAUAAAAAAUUAAAAUUAAAUUAAAUUAAAAAGAAAAAAUUCGGGUUAAUUAAUUAAUUUGAAAAUAAAGUCUAAAUUAGUAAAUUUCUUUAAAUUAAAAUGAAAAUGAAAAUUUAAAAUAAAAUAAAAUAAAAAACUGAGACUAAAUUUAAAAUAAAAAUUUUAAAUUAAAAUUAAAAGUUUAUUGUGGAAUUAAUUUUAAAAUAAAAAAUUUCUUUACAUUAAAAUUAUAAUUAAAAAUGUAAAUUUAAAAUAAAAUUACAAUUAUAAUUAAAUUUAAAAUAAAAAGUUGAAAUUAGAAUUAAAAAAUUAAUUUUAAAAUAACAAUUUCUUUAAAUUAAAAUUAUAACUAAAAUGAAAAUUUAAAUUUCAAAUAAAAUAAAAAAUUUAAAAUAAAUUAAAAUUAAAAAGUCAAAAUUUCGAUUAAAUAAUUAAUUUGAAAAUAAAUUCUAAAUUAACAAAUUUCUUUUAAUUAAUUUUGGAAAUUUAAUAUGACAAAAAAAAUCGACUGUUAACAGUCGACCGGCUACAAUCAAAAUCCAUCUCCACUCGCUGGAUUCCACCAUUUUCGACAAGUUAGAGCUCCCCAAACACCAAAAAUUGGCUAAUACACUUCAUCUAUACGCAAAUCUACCCUAAAUCAUGCAUUUCAUAUCACAAAAAUCAUAUUCCAACCAAUAAUCUAACUAAAAUGAAACAAAACCCAAUAUUAUAAUUAUAAUUCCACAAAAACUAACCUUUACAACUCUUAAAAGCCGGCAACCGGAAGUUCUUUUGUGAGGGAGAUGUCUGGACGGACGACUGUCAAUGAAUCUGAUUUUUCCUUUCCAAACCGUUGAUAGAGAGACAGAAAGAUGGAGGGGUAUUUUUGGAAACGUGUUUUUAAAUUGUGUUUUUCGUUUUUUUUUAAAUCAAUCAAAAGUCAAAGUGGAAAUAAGGGCGGGUCGAAUGGCCAUUUUCACUUAUUUAAUCAGAAUUAGGCCUAUGUUUCCCGACAAUUUUCCUGGGCAAAGCUACUCGAGGAAAAUACAGCUAUCUCUCGUUCUUUUUUUCUCGAUUAUUUUCAACUACGCAAUCUUCCAUAAAAUAAUAUUAUACGUAAAUAAAAAAAAUUUCAUUCUUUUCAAUCACACAUUUUUUCAAAAAAACACUACUCUAACCACUAAAAUUUCGAAAGAAUGGAAGCCGAAUGAGGCUAAUAUUCCAUUUUCAUAAAUCAAGAUUUAAGUAUCAUAAUACAAAAAUCAAGUGAUUAUGUAUUUUAAAUAAUAAUAUAAAAUUAAACUAAUUCAACCUAUUAUAUUCCAAACCCUAAUUUUCCCAUCUCUCUCUCUCUCUCUCGCAAGAUGCAGCCACCAUCGUUGUCGCCGUGAAGACCCCUCACUUCUCUCCUCUUUCUCACAAAUCAUCGACGAAUGUAUUGGCGUCAUCUGAAGCAACCAACUACGACGGUGUUGUGUGUAGUGGUGUUGGCAGUGUGCGCCGACAACAUUUCUCCAUAGGCACUGCAGAUCUGGUUAGGUGUGGUGGGUACGUUGCGGUCGAUGUCAGCAUUUCUCCUUCAUCUCUUCCCGCGUAUGCGUGGGUAUGGUGGUGCGUCAUCAUCAAUCUGUGCUCAAAUUUGGUGCUGUUAGUUUGGGUGCUGCGCUUCGCAGCCGUCGUCUCCAGUAAUUUUUUGUGUGCAAUGGUUGGGUACGAUGGUAGUGUGCAUUGUUAGUGUGUUGUGAUCAGUGGUGGUGGUGUUGUAGUCAACGUUGGUGGCAGUUUUGUUGGUGGUGCGACGGCGGGUGAGGCGGAAAGAAAAGAAUGUGACCAUCUGCGGUAGUGGUAGAUCAAGAUCGGAGGUGGAAGUGGGUUGUUUGGUAGAUGUGACCAACAAUUUGAUUAAUUUGUGACUUGCAAUUUGGUUAUUUGUGACUAACAAUUUAAUUGUGACCUAAAAAUUAUUUCAUUUGUGACUAACUAAUUUGAAAAAUGUGAUCGAUGAAUAAGUUGUGAUUUAUAAAAUUUGUGAUUUGUGUUCGAAAGAUAUGAGCGAACCAUUUAAUUGUGACCUAAAAAUUAUAUAAUUUGUGAUAAAUUAAUUUGAAAAUUUGACGAAUAAGUUGUAACUUUUAAAAAUUUUGAUGAUAAUAUGUGACUAGUAAAUAAGUUAUGACCUAUAAUAUGGCAAUUGUGACCAAAAAAUAUGUAAUGUUGUGACCAUAAUAUAUUAUAUUAAAAAAUAUUUUUUUAAUUAAUAAAAUCAUAAUUAUGACCUGAUUUUUGAAAGUUUAGAUGCAGUUUCUUAAAAUUGAAAUUGUGUAUAGUUAAUACCUUAAUUAUGUAUUGUUCCCAAGCUACUUCAGUCAUAAUGGACCUUAAUUUAGUAUAAGCCGAAAUUGACACAAAUAGCACUACAAUUGAUCAUAUACUAAUAGAAUUUUUUUUUGGAAUAUUUUCUAACAAGUUAAUUUCAGAAAUGGUCACUGAAGUUUAAGUAAAAUUUCAAAUUGGCUAUAAAGUAUUUUUGUGUCCCUCAUUUAUUAACUAAAGUAAGAUAAUGCUACAUUAUUGGCCACUUUAGCAGAACCCACUCCUAAUAUUGACAGCUAAACCUAAACAUCGACUAAUGACCAUUGUAUCUUCGUAGUGAACAUACAGACCAUCAAAAUAAAAUGCAAUUUUUACGAGAGAUGACCUCACAUUUAGCCAAAAAUUAGUAAAAUUCACUCCAAAUAUGACGGCGAAUUGUUAAAUUUUGACAUCAAACGAACCAUCGUUAUGUUCAUCGUAAAGUCACAUUCCAAUAAAAUAAAACAGUGGAGCCAAAAAUUCAAAAUCGCUUCCUUUAACCCUAAUCUUAUUUUCAUCAUUAAUAAAUGGUAAAAUGAUUGUGAUAUGAGGCCAACUUGAUCGACAAUAAGUCCAUGUGGAUUAACAAAUGCUAGACGUGAAAGUUUAAUAGCGGCUAGAUAGAAUAUAACCUCAAGCUAAAAGAGUGAUCAAAUAUGUAACAUUAUUUAAUGGUAAAGACUAAAGGAGUCACAAAAAUACUUUAAUAACCACAUUAAAAUUUUGCUUGAACCUCAAUAAUUGUUCGUGAACUUAACUCAUUUUCACCUUUAGGUUUGUAUCAAAUUCCAUUCAAUUUUUUCUCUUCUCGUUUUAGUCCAAGUGUAUUUAGUUAGGAUCUAAGGGACUCAAAAAUAAUUUUGUAUAUAAUAUUUAGAAAGAUAUUAAACUCAAUUCUAUGAGGUUUGGACCCUCCAUGUCAAAAAUAUGUCAUACUCCAAGACUUGUAGUUUAUACCCAUUACACUAUUGCACACUUACAAGUAUAUGUUUUGUUAAAAUGGAACUACUUAUAAGUUAAAUUUAUAAUUUAUUAAAAUAUCAUAUCAAGUGAAAAUCAUUUUUUGGACGAUUUCUUACUAUAAUUUAAUUAUUUCAAUAAUAUUUCACUUUUCAUUUUUCAAUAUGUAUUUAAAUUAUUUAACUAUUUAGUCACCAUCAAUAUACAUUUACAUUUGACAAAUUGUGAAAUGCGCUUUCAUUAAUGUAUAAAUUUUCUAUUAUUAAUCCUCAAUAAUUAACAUUCACAUUCAUUUAAUUAAUAUUCAUCUUCAUUUAUGCAUUUUAGUGUAAUUAUUUCUAAUUAUAAGUUAAUUAUAAUUUCAUGUUCAAGUAUGUAUUUUAUUAUUCACGUCAGUUAUGCUGAUUAACAUUCAAUUUUACUUAAUCGGAAAUUAAAUAAAUGAUUUAACAUUCAUUGUCACGUAUAUUUCCUGAUAUUAAUUCUAAAUUAAUUAACAUUCACACAUAAUGCACAAUACAUGUUCAAUGUUGACUAAUAUAUCUAAAAAUAUGUAAUCUUUUUAAUUGAGACAAACAAGUUGUCUGUCACGAGAAUCUGUAAAUGUUGAAAUUGUGGAAGACGUAUCCAAAUGACAGCUAUUAGAUAUACACAUUAAAGUUCGAGUUUCUAUGCAAGAAAGUGAUGAAUGAUCACACACGAACACAAAAGUCUGGGAUGUGAAUCACUAGUCACUUGUGCAUGGGAGUUUCUAACCUUUUCUAUUGCUCCUAAACUAUGUUUGAUAGCCCAAUUUUUCUAUGAAAAAUGAAAAACAAAUUUCAUUUUCAUCUUUUGGCGUGUUUGAUAGCCAAUUUUUUUUCACUAAUUCGUUUUCCACCUUUGCCUCACACGAGCACCAAUUCUUGGUUUUUGGAAAAUUAAUUUUCCCAUGGGGUAGCUGAUUUUAUGUUUUCCACCAAUUUUUUUUAUUUUAUUUUGUUUUAUUUGGUUUUGUUUUUGUUUUUGUUUUUGUUUUUGUUUUUUUAAUUUUUGACAAUGGGAACAAAUUCUAUGGACAAUUGUAAAAGAUGAUAUCCCUUAAAUUGAUAAUUUACAUGUAAAACAAAGUCAAACGAACACCAAAAUAUAUAAUUUUUUUUUGAAUUUUUUUUCACAAUGGAAACAAAUUCUAGGAACAAUUGUAGAAGUGGAUAUCCCUAAAAUUAACAUUUUUCAUGAAAAACAAAGCCAAACGAACACCAAAAUACACUUUUAUUUUAACAUUUUUCAGGUGAAAAAUUAUAUGAAUCAAACACUAUUAAUUAACAAUUCUCAUUAAAACAUAUUUUAGGCAAUUCGAUUCCCUUCAAGUCAUUUUCUUUUCAUCCAAAUUCCAUAUUUAUAAUCAAACGGACCCUUAUUAUCUUCUAUCCACGUGACAACAAUUUUCACGAUCAUCGACUGUAAAUUCACUUUUAAAGUGUAAAACAACAUGUCCUUAACAUAUGCUAAAUUAAAGCAACUAUGCUAUAGUAAAAAAAACUGAAUAAUGCUAUUUUUAGUCCCUCGUAGCGAUAGUCAUUCUACAUGGCAUAUAUAUGGUAGGUGAUUAUUUGAUGCAUUAAUAUUAUAAUCUUUUAUCGACUCAUAUAUCAAAUAAUCACCUGUCAUGUGCAUAUCAUGUUAGAUGAUUGCCGUUGUGAGCAACUACAAAUAGCAUAAACAUCUUAGUACACAGAGGAAAAGAAAGCAAAAGCGAUUUCUAUAGUAACGGCGAGGGAAAGGUUUACGGUAGAUACCUAGGCACCCAGAGACGAGGAAGGACGUAGUAAUCAAUGUUCAAAAAAAUUGACAUGCUUAUGAGACAAUGUGACAUGGCCGGUCGAUUGGACAUUAAAAGAUAUCAGAAUCGAAGAAAUUUAACAAAGACCAAACCUAAGGAAAGAGCUCGGCUUAUGUUAUAAAGAGGUCAAUCAGCCAUUACUAUUAAGCUUUGGUCAUUUUAAGAAUGGGAAUGCUCUAGCCAAACAAUGCGACAAUAUAACCAGACCAAAGAGCUUAGAUCCAAUAUCUUCGUAGAAGCUAGCAAAGGUUGAAAUCCUUAAGCUCACUAAAUUAUGCCUUGCUUGGUGCUCACGCAUGACAAGCUUGGCCUAGCACAAGCAUGCCCAACAAGCUAAGCAGGGCGGCACCAGCACGGAAUUCUGCUGCUUCUUCAAGUUUGGGUUGGGCUCUUCGAAUGGUCAACAAUGGCAAAUAGCAAUUGUCCUAAUUGGGAUACUUGGCCCUUGUGCAAGAUCAGUUGGAUGGAGCAUCCACCUUGGGCAAACCAAUUUAUAUGGCCAUCCACCCUGGAAGAUGAGAGUGUCAAUUGAUGGCCCAGGCAGCAUAAAAUCCAUUGCUGAUCGUUAAUAAUUAGAACGUCUGAUAUAUCAAAAUAAAUGGUGUGGAUUACUGACUUUACACAUUUUUUCUAUCACAAACUGUCAUCAUAAGUCGACAAAUGCCAAAAAGAAAAAGUUGCAGAGUCCAUUGAGAAGUAGGAUUCUAUUAACAAGCCUGCUCCUUGUCCCGGCUUGGGGACAGGAUCACGGACAGGGCGCUCCCUAUUGGAUGCCGGCAUCCCUCCAAUAGGGGGCGCCACAUGCUUCAACCUUGUUCCCAAACCAAGACGGCGGCUUUAUUAUUCUAUUUAUUAUUCUAUUAAACAGGUAAGAUUGGAUUCAUAUUUUGUUAAUUAUAAGAUUUUAUGCAUUUAAAUUAAAAUCUUCAGCACACCCAUCAUGUGCAAACGAGUAGCUGCGUAACAAAUAAAAUUCUAGUGCCUCACAGGGCAUAGCCCGAUGGUGCAAAGGACAAAAGUGAGAUUAUUCGCGCCUUGUCGACAGCCGCAGUGUGAAAGUUUGAUUCUUGAGACAUGAAAUUUGACUCCUUGUAUGCGCAGUUUACAUACAGCUCUUGUUCCCUGAUCUGUUGGGACACAUCCCACGAUUUAUCUCCCUCACAAAGCUCUAAGAGCGAAACGGUAAGGACUCUCAAAAUUGGAGUUCAACCUUUUUUUAACAAAUAAAAUUCUGGUAACUGACUUGAAUCCUUUGUCAUUGUGUCCUAUUUGGCCCUCAUUCUUUUCAAAUUUUAAUGGUUGAAAUAGUGAUUUUUUGAAAAAUGUGUAGUUAAAAAAAAUGAAAGCCUUUGAUUUUCAUGUAAUAUUAUUUUAUAAAAGAUUGUAUAGUUUAAAAUAAGAAAGAAAAAAAGAAUAAGAGGAUAUUUGACAAACAUUUUUAUAUAAAAAUGUAUUUUAAAAUAGUAAAUUGAUGUGAAAUGUAUGGUUGAAAAAUAAGGAAAAGUUUUUUAUUUACGUUUAAUAUUAUUUUAAUAAAAAAUGUGUGAUUCAAAAGAAGAAAGAGAAAAAUACAUUUUGAAAAAAAUGGCUACCAGACGGAACCUAAUAAUGGGAAUGAGGACAAAAAGAGGCUGUAUGUUCCAAUACUAACAAAGUUACAUCACAUUAAAAAAGGGUAAUUAAACUGUUCAAAGUACCACAGAAUAAAUACCUCAAACCUGGAAAUUAAUAUUGACAAAUGCAUCAGAAAUUUAACACAAUCAAGCUCCUACACUUCAUCCAAAAAAAGGAUAGUAUAUUUAAAAAGCAAGUAUUUGAAGUCUCAGAAAUAACAGCAUAACUCAAAAACUAAAUGAGAAGAAGAUGGAGCCGAUCACCACCAUAUCUCUUCGUUAUCCUAGGCAGAUUCAGCCUGAGAUAAAAAUGCUCUUCCUGGUUGACGCAGAGCCAGUGGUCCGUGACAUCCCAGAAGCUGCAAAAUCAAAUACAAAAUUUUCUCAUAAACAGUGAACGGCACCCAAGAGGUUAGACAAUAAAGCAGCAUAUGUAAAGAUAAAAUUGAAAAAAGGGAAAACAGCUGCAAAUAUUUUAAUUAAUCCUCAAGGUUACAACUAACCUUAGCAUUCACACCAUCAGAUAGAAUCCGAUUCUCAGAUUUCCACUUCAGGUAAUCAGUGCGGCUGUGUUUAGUGAACCCCCUGAAAUUCAAGAUAAACAGCAAUACUUUAAUAAUAUGUAUGUGAAUGGGGCGGUAGUCUAGACAAAAACAUAAGGUUUUCCAAACUACAAAAUGUCUCAAUUAAUCCAAAAUGAAAUUCAAUAGGAAAGCAGCAUACCAUUUCCUGCUGACAAUAAUCUUUUGACGGCCAGGGAAUUUGAACUUUGCACGGCGCAAUGCUUCCUGCGCAUUGUGGCUGUUGCUAUCUUUGCAGCGAACAGAGAGGAGCACCUGGCCAAUAGCAACACGAGCACAAACACCUUGAGGCUUGCCAAAAGCACCCCUCAUACCAGUUUGGAGCCUAUCAGCUCCAGCACAUGACAACAUCUUGUUAAUUCGCAACACAUGGAAAGGGUGCACGCGGACCCUCAGGUGGAAAGCAUCCUUUCCUGCAAACUUAGUCAUGUACUUAUUGCAGGCAAUACGAGCAGCUUCAAGUGCUUCACUAGACAC